Molecule: non-coding RNA, 3261 nt
Organism: Nicotiana tabacum (common tobacco)
Lineage: Eukaryota; Viridiplantae; Streptophyta; Magnoliopsida; Solanales; Solanaceae
Source: RefSeq, a predicted model, not a curated record
CAUACAUACUAGUAAUAUACCAACCACCGUACAUACACCAUAACGGCGCUAAUUGCCACCUCCCUCCACCGUGAACCUCCCACUCCCAGCGUUAAUCCCAACCAAAUUCCAAAACCCACCUAACAAAACCAAUUUGAUGUUGAGAAGUAUCAGUCUUUUGCCUUCAUCACUGAGCCUCCGUGCAGCAUCUUCACUGCACAUUCUACCGGAAAUGGCCUCAAAGGGUAAAUCUUUUUUACACUCUGAGUCAACCCUUUUAAAUUCUUCCAAUAAUCAUGAUGAAUUUUCAGCUGAUGUAGAGAAGGUUUAUAGAAUUUUGAGAAAGUUUCACUCAAGGGUUCCAAAACUUGAGCUUGCUUUGCAAGAAUCUGGUAUCCUGGUACGUUCAGGCUUGACCGAACGUGUGUUGAGUCGUUGUGGUGAUGCUGGGAAUUUAGGCUACAGAUUCUUUGUAUGGGCCUCAAAGCAACCUGGUUAUAGGCAUAGUCAUGAUACAUACAAAUCAAUGGUCAAGAUUUUGGGGAAAAUGAGGCAGUUUGGUACUGUAUGGGCACUUGUUGAGGAGAUGAGGAGAGAGAAUCCUCAGUUUUUGACACCAGAACUGUUUAUUGUAUUGAUGAGGAGAUUUGCCUCAGCUAGAAUGGUAAAGAAAGCGAUCCAAGUGUUGGAUGAGAUGCCCAAAUAUGGUUGUGAGCCAGAUGACUAUGUUUUCGGGUGUUUGUUGGAUGCUUUGUGUAAGAAUGGUAGCGUAAAAGAGGCAGCUGUAUUGUUUGACGAAAUGAGGAUUAGGUUUAGCCCUACCAUAAAGCAUUUUACUUCAUUGUUAUAUGGUUGGUGUAAAGAAGGGAAGCUUAUGGAGGCGAAAGUCGUGUUGGUGAAAAUGAGGGAGGCAGGUUUCGAGCCAGACAUUGUGGUUUAUAACAACUUGCUCAAUGGUUAUGCAGUGUCUAGGAAAAUGGCUGAUGCAUUUGAUCUUCUGCAGGAGAUGAGAAGAAAAGGUUGCAACCCUAAUGCAACUUCUUAUACAAUAGUAAUUCAGGCGCUUUGUUCGCAAGACAAGAUGGAGGAAGCUAUGCGGAUAUUCUUGGAUAUGGAGAGAAGCGGAUGUGAAGCUGAUGUUGUGACGUAUACUACCUUGAUAAGUGGAUUUUGUAAGUGGGGAAAGAUUGAAAAAGGUUAUGAACUUCUGGAUAAUAUGCUGCAGAAAGGGUAUAAUCCAAAUCAGACUACUUAUUUGCAUAUAAUGUUAGCCCAUGAGAAGAAGGAAGAGUUGGAAGAGUGUUUGGAACUUGUUAAGGAAAUGGAAAAUAUCUGUAUACCUCCUGACCUUAGCAUCUAUAAUACAGUAAUUCGGUUAGCUUGUAAAUUGGGGGAAAUUGAUGAAGCUGUGCAAGCAUGGAACCAAAUAGAAGCGAACGGGAUCAGUCCGGGGGUUGACACCUUUGUCAUUAUGAUUAAUGGUUGUGUUGAUCAAGGGCGUCUAAUAGAAGCUUGUGAUUACUUUAAAGAAAUGAUCGGACGAGGUCUUCUGUCUGCUCCUCAAUAUGGUACUCUGAAGGACCUGUUGAAUACUUUGUUACGAGCAGAGAAACUUGAACUAGGUAAAGAUGUCUGGAGUUGCAUAAUGACCAAAGGAUGUGAGCUUAAUGCGUAUGCAUGGACCAUUUGGAUUCAUGCAUUGUUUUCAAAUGGACAUGUGAAAGAGGCUUGUUCGUACUGUUUAGAUAUGAUGGAUGCCGGUUUGAUGCCUCAGCCAGACACGUUUGCUAAGCUUAUGUGGGGUCUAAGGAAGCUUUAUAAUAGACAGAUUGCUGCAGAGAUUACAGAGAAGGUGAGAAAAAUGGCCGCAGAGAGAAAUAUGACUUUCAAGAUGUACAAGCGACGUGGUGAAAGAGACUUGACAGAAAAAGCUAAGGCAAAACUGGAUGGGAGAAAGAGGAGAGCUCGUCGACGCCGUUGGGGUAGCCAUCGUAGGCAGGCUAACACUUUAUGAUAUGAGAUAUAAGUGAGGAGGAUGCUACCAUGUUGACACUGUUUGACUGCAUAUUACGUGGAGGGGGUAGCCCGGUGCACUAAGCUCCUGCUAUCGCUGUGUCCAGGGAAGGGUUGAACCACAUUGGGUCUUAUGUACGCAGCCUUACCUUGCAUUUCUACAAGAGGAUGUUUCCGCGGCUUGAACCCGUGACCUCCUGGUCACAUGGCGGCAGCUUUUACCGUUGCACCAAAACUAUGUAACUCACUUGAUUCACCAAGUAUGAUCAACAAACUUUUAGCGUAUUUACUUUAGUGUGCUUUAGUAGAGAUGGUACUUGCCGAGCUUCCAAUUGACGAAAGUCCUCUCUUUAUCUGAAACACAUUAAUUUGGACUGUCAUUGACACUGAGGGGGAAGGUCUUUCAAGAAGAGUGAUAACUUAUUGAAGACAUUUCGUCUGUAUUAGGAGCGAAAGAUACAAGGACUCGGAAGUUCAUUGCUCGUGCCUUAGUCCCAAGAUUUAGGGGUGUCUGUGCGAGAUGGAGUGGAGGUACAUUUUUCUCAUUUUUGUUUGCAUCAGAGUGUAGCUUGGUUCCGUAGUUUUUUUUUUCCUUUUGAUGUGGUUCAGUAGUAAUAACAAAAUAUAUAGAUAUCGAUGGAGAUGUUUUAAUAUGGUAUCAGUCCUUUUAGUUGCAUGUAUAUGUGCAUGUGCAAGUGUUCAUGCAAUUAAUACAGUGAUUUGGAGACACGACAUGCUUCCCUGCAAUUAAUAUAUGUCGAAUUGAUGCCUUCCUAAAAAGUGAGAAAUAUUCAGUGCGCUAUUUUCUACACCUUGGAUCAAUUAGAAAGUGAAAGUAGAAAGAUACUGUGGAGUUUUUCUUCGUGUAAACUGCAUCUGUUUGUUGGCUGUGGAGCUUUUUCUACCUACUGCUUGUGACCUCUUUGAAGAAUGGGCCCUAUUCUUCCUUGCAAACAAAAGCGUAUGUUAUUCUCAUAUUCUGGCAGCAUGGAUUUGGAGUGUCCACAUUUAGCAAAUGAGCAUCCAAGGCAUGGUGGGAGUUCAUUCAACAAUACUGUUAUAAAAUUUGUAAAUAUUCUGUAAUUACUGAAUCUGAUUAUGGAAUAUUGUUUAUCAAUUAGGGAGGGGGAAUAGACAAGAUGACUUGGCACCUUUCUUUGGUCAAGGAUCUUAUUUAUCUUUUUUCUCCUUUUUUUGGCAUUUUUCUAUUUCCCCCAGCUUUAUUUAACUACUCAAUAUUGUAAAAAAUCAAAGUCACUCAUUUAACUA